RNAcentral lists this ribosomal RNA (1102 nucleotides) under human gut metagenome. RNAcentral's name for it is "bacterial SSU rRNA". It matches the Rfam family "Bacterial small subunit ribosomal RNA", at positions 412 to 1520 of the family's 1533-position model. The record is from RNAcentral.
AGGUCUUCGGAUUGUAAAAUUCUGUGGUAAGAGAAGAAAGAUAUAAAGAGGAAAUGCUUUGUAUUUGACGGUAUCUUGCUAGAAAGCCACGGCUAACUACGUGCCAGCAGCCGCGGUAAUACGUAGGUGGCAAGCGUUAUCCGGAAUUACUGGGCGUAAAGAGUGAGCAGGCGGUUAGAUAAGUCUAUGGUUAAAUGCAACAGCUCAACUGUUGUUCGCUAUAGAAACUAUUUAACUAGAGUGCGGGAGAGGUAAGUGGAACUCCAUAUGUAGCGGUGGAAUGCUUAGAUAUAUGGAAGAACACCAGAGGCGAAGGCGGCUUACCAGUCCGUAACUGACGCUCAGUCACGAAAGCGUGGGGAGCAAAUAGGAUUAGAUAUCCUAGUAGUCCACGCCGUAAACGAUGAGAACCUGAUGCAGGAGAUAUUCUGUGUCGAAGCUAACGCGUUAAGUUCUCCGCCUGGGUACUACGUUCGCAAGAAUAAAACUUAAAGGAAUUGACGGGCGCCCGCACAAGCAGUGGAGCAUGGGGUUUAAUUCGUCGAUACACGAAAAACCUUACCAGGGCUUGACAUCCCGCUAAAAGCCUUAGAAAUAAGGAAAUAGUUAUAGCGGUGACAGGUGGUGCAUGGUUGUCGUCAGCUCGUGCCGUGAGGUGUUAGGUUAAGUCCUCAAACGAGCGCAACCCUUGUCUUUAGUUGCCAUUAUUAAUUUAGGAACUCUAGAGAGACUGCCGGCGCAAGCCGGAGGAAGGCGGGGAUGACGUCAAAUCAUCAUGCCCUUUAUGCCCUGGGCCACACCCGUGCUACAAUGGUCGGUACAAAGAGAAGCAACACUGUGAGGUGAAGCAAAUCCCAUAAAGCCGAUCUCAAUUCGGAUUGAAGUCUGCAACUCGACUUCAUGAAGCUGGAAUUGCUAGUAAUCGCAGAUCAGCAACGCUGCGGUGAAUACGUUCUCGGGCGUUGUACACACUGCCCGUCACACCAUGAGAGCCGGUAAUACUCGAAGUCGUUAGCCUAACCGUAAGGAGGGCGGCGCCUAAGGUAGGACUGGUGAUUGGGGUUAAGUCGUAACAAGGUAUCCCUACGAGAACGUGGGGAUG